AUUGAACGCUGGCGGCAGGCCUAACACAUGCAAGUCGAACGAGUGGCGGACGGGUGAGUAAUGUCUGGGAAACUGCCUGAUGGAGGGGGAUAACUACUGGAAACGGUAGCUAAUACCGCAUACCAUCGGAUGUGCCCAGAUGGGAUUAGCUAGUAGGUGGGGUAAAGGCUCACCUAGGCGACGAUCCCUAGCUGGUCUGAGAGGAUGACCAGCCAGACUGGCACAGAGAUACGGUCCAGACUCCUACGGGAGGCAGCAGUGGGGAAGAUGGCACAAUGGGCGCAAGCCUGAUGCAGCGAGGCCGCGUGUAUGAUGCAGGCCUUCGGGUUGUAAAGUACUGUCAGCGGGGAGGCGUUACACGCAGAAGAAGCACCGGCUAACUCCGUGUCAGCAGCCGCGGUAAUAC
RNAcentral lists this ribosomal RNA (406 nucleotides) under uncultured bacterium. RNAcentral describes it as "partial 16S ribosomal RNA". It matches the Rfam family "Bacterial small subunit ribosomal RNA", at positions 29 to 526 of the family's 1533-position model. The record is from RNAcentral.